AUUGUAAGGAGUUAAUCUAUAUUACCAAUCGUCAUGCAAACAUUUUCCUAACACGCAUAUUCAUCCACGAUUUAUAUCCUCAGCGAAGCUCCCAACCUGCCGAAUCAUCCCCUAUUUUAAUGUAAAACGAUCUAUUUUACCGACGGUGUAAAAGCACGCAUUUCUGACAGAUACUUUUUCAGCGGACCAACUUUAACCCUUCUUAUUUUUUUACUAUCACAUACUAUAACCGGACCAAAAAAUAAAGAACCGUUUUGUUUCGUUAUCGAAAGCUGCGUUUAUCUUUGCCGGCUUUUAUUUGAAACGCGAACGAACUCGCCGGCAGAGACUAUCGAUUCUAUGGAGCAGGCCUUGUAAGGGAAAUAAAGCGAGACGGUGUGUACGUUUAUGACAGGCGGCCAUAUUGGUAAACCACUUGUUAGACACCCUGUUUUGUUAUUGUUGUCGUUGAGGGUAAACCGACCGUUGUCACGCAGUCGGAUCAAGAAAUUUCGGCGAAUAUUUUGAACGGUAGGUUGUCGUCGCCCCACUUCGGUUCAACAACGAGGUGUCGCCACGCCAUCCCCAGAGAAUGAUCGGUAACUUAGAUGGACAUGUACGAUGAGAUAAUCUUCGUUUUGAGUUUGAAUUUGCUUAGGAGACUUAAGGUGAGUCUGUCUAAACACGCUAUUACGACUUUUGCUUAUGCACGACUUUCUUUUGCAUGUAUCUUUCGUUAAAAUAAUACUACAAUAAUGUGGUUUGUAUCAAAUACAGUGUGGUAUGAUUAAUAUUCAACUUAAUUGCAUAGCAGGGGGUUAUUUGCACGUGCGUAAAUCGCAAGGUGUGUGUUUGAUCACGCGAGAGUACAUCAAACGCAACGGUACGCAUACGUGUAGUUAAACAAACGUGUAAAUAAACACGGAUGACCUGCUUUACUCCAAUAUUACGAUCAAUUUACUCGUGCAAAUAACAUAAACGUUCUCGACCCUUUGAGAUGUAAAA
Molecule: non-coding RNA, 984 nt
Organism: Onthophagus taurus
Lineage: Eukaryota; Metazoa; Arthropoda; Insecta; Coleoptera; Scarabaeidae
Source: RefSeq, a predicted model, not a curated record